Molecule: long non-coding RNA, 1100 nt
Organism: Acanthochromis polyacanthus (spiny chromis)
Lineage: Eukaryota; Metazoa; Chordata; Actinopteri; Pomacentridae
Exons: 2
Source: RefSeq, a predicted model, not a curated record
UAAAUAAAUAUACUAUUUAUGUGGCUAAAGGGACAUUACAUAAGGUGUAGUGUCAUUGCUGAUAGUGUAAAUGGUAGUUAGAUAUUUCCGGAGGGCGGAGACUCGAGGCCGAGUGUUCCCGAACACUUCCGAUCUUUGCCGAUCUCCUGCACCGGCCGCCGAGCUGUUGUUUUUGCUGCGUGUCCUGCUCGCAUCCAUCUCUGGUCGCGCUCCCAUCAUGGUGGACAUCUUGGUGCUGAUGUUUUUCGCCAUCAUGGGCCUCGUGUUUCUCUCCUACAUCAUCUACAUGCUGUGAUGAAGCGGAGACACCGGGAAUUACCGGCGAACGGCGGGAUGGAGCCGAGCCGUUAUCCCCGCUGCAUCACCUGUCUGCAGCCUGCACUAAGGGAGAAGAUGCACGUCCAGGCUGUGAUGCUUCUACAGAGCUGAGAGGAAACACAAAUGGAGAGAAAGAAGAAAACGUGGAAGCCAAACUCUUUCUGUCUCCUCUCACCCAGACCCUCUCCUUUAUAUUUCCUCCUUUAUCCAGAGUCUUUUCUCUGCUGCUGAAGGUGUGCCAGGACGGUACAGGUGUAACAGUCUGCCUUUUUUAUACCGCUGUGUGCAGUUUGACAGUAUUAUUCCACGAGAUGCCACUUAAAGCUUCAGACUUUUCCCUUAUUUUGGAGAUGAAUGGGUUGGCUCAGCCUCAGUGUUGAUUUAUUUCAUUCAAGUGUUGCCAAUAAGUUCUUCUCCUCACUAUAAUCAAUAUACAGUCAAGUAUCUGCUGCUUAUGUUCACGUUUUUUGUCUUAUUUAUGUAUUUUUGGCUGCAAAUGUCCUGCACAAAGAGGCAUCCGUGUGCUCAUGUGAUCCCCCCAAACCUCAUUUAUUUUACAUAAUAUAUUGAAAUAAUGUUCUGUUUGCAGAGAUUACUGACAGUAUUUCACACUUUAUGUCAAAUAUAAGCGGUUCAGCUCAUCUGUAUGCUUCUGUUUUAUCACCAAACCUUAUUUAUGGCGUCUGUUAUAUUUAAAUAAUGUUGGAUGCACUGAUAAUCUGCUGAAAUGAAAGACAGUAUUUCACAUUUUAUGUCAAAUAAAGAUGAUUUUGUUGAAUUCA